This 570-nucleotide ribosomal RNA is filed under the name Enterococcus casseliflavus. Its description in RNAcentral is "bacterial SSU rRNA". It matches the Rfam family "Bacterial small subunit ribosomal RNA", at positions 41 to 584 of the family's 1533-position model. The record is from RNAcentral. Lineage: Bacteria; Bacillati; Bacillota; Bacilli; Lactobacillales; Enterococcaceae.
GGCGUGCCUAAACAUGCAAGUCGAACGCUUUUUCUUUCACCGGAGCUUGCUCCACCGAAAGAAAAAGAGUGGCGAACGGGUGAGUAACACGUGGGUAACCUGCCCAUCAGAAGGGGAUAACACUUGGAAACAGGUGCUAAUACCGUAUAACACUAUUUUCCGCAUGGAAGAAAGUUGAAAGGCGCUUUUGCGUCACUGAUGGAUGGACCCGCGGUGCAUUAGCUAGUUGGUGAGGUAACGGCUCACCAAGGCAACGAUGCAUAGCCGACCUGAGAGGGUGAUCGGCCACACUGGGACUGAGACACGGCCCAGACUCCUACGGGAGGCAGCAGUAGGGAAUCUUCGGCAAUGGACGAAAGUCUGACCGAGCAACGCCGCGUGAGUGAAGAAGGUUUUCGGAUCGUAAAACUCUGUUGUUAGAGAAGAACAAGGAUGAGAGUAAAAUGUUCAUCCCUUGACGGUAUCUAACCAGAAAGCCACGGCUAACUACGUGCCAGCAGCCGCGGUAAUACGUAAGUGGCAAGCGUUGUCCGCAUUUAUUGGGCGUAAAGCCAAGCGCCGCGGUUUCUU